This 217-nucleotide long non-coding RNA is filed under the name Lathyrus oleraceus (garden pea). RNAcentral describes it as "Pisum sativum (pea) long non-coding RNA (PSAT_LNC039878)". Lineage: Eukaryota; Viridiplantae; Streptophyta; Magnoliopsida; Fabales; Fabaceae. The record is from RNAcentral.
AAGGGCUUGAAGUUGGUCCAUUUUGACUAAAUUCUCAAAGGCAUGUUUUGCACUAUGAACUUCAUGGCCUGUUUUCAUAAAUUUCCACACUUCAAAUGAGUUUUUGUCCAACAUAACAUUUAUUCCUUAUGUCAAGACCUUUCCAACCAUUACCCACAUGCAUAUGUUUGGAUUUUCUAAUUGACAUUUUCGAAGAGAUGAAGUUCUAGGCACAAUU